This 494-nucleotide ribosomal RNA is filed under the name uncultured bacterium. Its description in RNAcentral is "bacterial SSU rRNA". It matches the Rfam family "Bacterial small subunit ribosomal RNA", at positions 282 to 769 of the family's 1533-position model. The record is from RNAcentral.
GGUAGCUGGUCUUAGAGGACGACCAGCCACACUGGAACUGAGACACGGUCCAGACACCUACGGGUGGCAGCAGUCGAGAAUCUUUCACAAUGGGGGCAACCCUGAUGGAGCGACGCCGCGUGGAGGAUAAGGUCUUCGGAUUGUAAACUCCUGUCAUGUGUGAACAAGGUUGUCUUGUUAAUAGCGAGGCAAAUUGAUGGUAACACAAGAGGAAGAGACGGCUAACUCUGUGCCAGCAGCCGCGGUAAUACAGAGGUCUCAAGCGUUGUUCGGAAUCACUGGGCGUAAAGGGUGCGUAGGUGGCGUGGAAAGUCAGAUGUGAAAGCCCGGGGCUCAACCUCGGAAUAGCAUCCGAUACUACCAUGCUAGAGUACUGAAGAGGUGACUAGAAUUCUCGGUGUAGCAGUGAAAUGCGUAGAUAUCGAGAGGAAUACCAACGGCGAAGGCAGGUCACUGGGCAGUUACUGACACUGAGGCACGAAGGCCAGGGGAGC